RNAcentral lists this ribosomal RNA (451 nucleotides) under uncultured bacterium. Its description in RNAcentral is "partial 16S ribosomal RNA". It matches the Rfam family "Bacterial small subunit ribosomal RNA", at positions 28 to 507 of the family's 1533-position model. The record is from RNAcentral.
GAUGAACGCUGGCGGCGUGCCUAACACAUGCAAGUCGAGCGGCAGCGAGGGGUGCUUGCACCCUGUCGGCGAGCGGCGGACGGCUGAGUAACGCGUGGGAACGUGCCCCAAAGUGAGGAAUAACUGCCCGAAAGGGUAGCUAAUACCGCAUAUUAUCUUCGGAUCAAAGGAUUUAUCCGCUUUGGGAGCGGCUCGCGUCGGAUUAGGUAGUUGGUGAGGUAAUGGCUCACCAAGCCGACGAUCCGUAGCUGGUCUGAGAGGAUGACCAGCCAGACUGGAACUGAGACACGGUCCAGACUCCUACGGGAGGCAGCAGUGAGGAAUCUUCCACAAUGGGCGAAAGCCUGAUGGAGCAACGCCGCGUGCAGGACGAAGGCCUUCGGGUUGUAAACUGCUUUUAUAAGCGAGGAAUAUGACGGUAACUUAUGAAUAAGGAUCGGCUAACUGCGUG